RNAcentral lists this ribosomal RNA (253 nucleotides) under uncultured bacterium. RNAcentral describes it as "partial 16S ribosomal RNA". It matches the Rfam family "Bacterial small subunit ribosomal RNA", at positions 524 to 776 of the family's 1533-position model. The record is from RNAcentral.
UACAGGGGGUGCAAACGUUGCUCGGAAUCUUUGGGCGUAAAGCGCACGUAGGCGGUUCGUUAUGUCGGAUGUGAAAGCCCUUGGCUUAACCGAGGAAGUGCAUCCGAAACUGGCGAGCUAGAGUACUAAAGAGGAUCGCGGAAUUCCCGGUGUAGAGGUGAAAUUCGUAGAUAUCGGGAGGAACACCGGUGGCGAAGGCGGCGAUCUGGGUAGAUACUGACGCUGAGGCACGAAAGCGUGGGGAGCAAACAGG